Candidatus Nomurabacteria bacterium is the source of this 72-nucleotide non-coding RNA. The record is from Rfam. NCBI's taxonomy places the organism in Bacteria, Candidatus Nomuraibacteriota.
UGCGGGAUCUGCUAAUUGGUAGGCAACAUGCCUCUGGAGCAUGGAAUCUAGGUUCGAACCCUAGUCCCGCAG